Molecule: ribosomal RNA, 253 nt
Filed under: uncultured bacterium
Lineage: Bacteria
Description: partial 16S ribosomal RNA
Rfam family: Bacterial small subunit ribosomal RNA
Source: RNAcentral
UACGGAGGGUGCGAGCGUUGUCCGGAAUCACUGGGCGUAAAGGGUGCGUAGGCGGCGCGGGUAGUCAUCGGUGAAAGUUCAGGGCUCAACUCUGAAUCGGCCGGUGAUACUCUCGUGCUUGAGCACUGUAGAGGCAGGUGGAAUUCCGGGUGUAGCGGUGGAAUGCGUAGAGAUCCGGAAGAACACCGGUGGCGAAGGCGGCCUGCUGGGCAGUAGCUGACGCUGAUGCGCGACAGCGUGGGGAGCAAACAGG